UUGGGAAAAGAGGGCCGGUGGUAAGAAAAAACAAAGAGGAAAGAGAUGAGGGAGUGAAAGGGUCGGGGGGAAGAAACAAAAAAGAAAAAAAAAAGAAAUUUCUGCAAAAAUCUUUACUUCAUUCGGCUUGGGAGAGGAAGGAUGAGCUGCUGGCAUGCGGCUUUGAGGUCCGGCUUUUUCGAGCAAAAACUGCUAAGGAAGACGGGCAAGGCAACAACAAGAAAGGGAAGGGGCUCGCAUAAAGCUAUGCUUGAUUUGGAAAUCUCGGUGGUUACCAUUCGUGGAGGCUUCGACAAGGGACCUAGCCAACCUACGGCUAUCUUGUGGGCCUAUUCCUUUUGUAUUUAAUUUGUGAUAUGUUUUCACCGGGGCGAUGGCUGAAUGUGUCAUUUUAUUUUACGUACAGUUUUAUUUUGUAAGCGAAUAUUUUGUAAUCAAUCUAGUAAAUUCUCAAUCAGUAUCUUUCGUAUUUGCCCAAUUUAAAUAAGUUCAAACGAAAAUUAAAUUUUUGGAUUGGGGAAAAUUUUUGUAAGCGAAUAUUUGGUAACUUCACACGUGGGUCGUCGGUCGAUCGAACGUACCCCGGGUUGUUACAAUGACACAUUCCUAAUAAAUCAUAAAAUUGCUGAAUUCAA
Molecule: long non-coding RNA, 635 nt
Organism: Gossypium raimondii (Peruvian cotton)
Lineage: Eukaryota; Viridiplantae; Streptophyta; Magnoliopsida; Malvales; Malvaceae
Exons: 3
Source: RefSeq, a predicted model, not a curated record